ACUCACCAGGUCAGGACACGGUAAGGAUUGACGGACUGAAGGCUCUUUCUCGAUUCCGUGGAAAGUGGUGCAUGGCCGUUUUUGGUUGGUGGAUCGAUCCGUCUGGUUAAUUCCGUUAACGAACGAGACCUCGGCACUCCGAAUAGCGCGGCGGACGUCGCGGCCUCCGGGCCGUCUUCCGCACGAGCUUCUUAGAGGGACCGUCCCCCGCCGGGGAAGGAGGUGCGAGGCAACGACAGGUCUGUGAUGCCCUUAGAUGUUCUGGGCCGCACGCGCAUUACACUGACGCGUCCAACGGGUGACUCCCGACCCGAAGGGGCCGGGAAUCCGCAAGGCGCGUCGUGAUGGGGAUUGAACGUUGCAAUUGUUGUUCACGAACGAGGAAUUCCUAGUAGGCGCGGGUCAUCAACCCGCGCCGAUUACGUCCCUGCCCUUUGUACACACCG
This 446-nucleotide ribosomal RNA is filed under the name uncultured eukaryote. RNAcentral describes it as "bacterial SSU rRNA". It matches the Rfam family "Eukaryotic small subunit ribosomal RNA", at positions 1213 to 1671 of the family's 1831-position model. The record is from RNAcentral.